This 6976-nucleotide unclassified non-coding RNA is filed under the name Leishmania donovani. Its description in RNAcentral is "gene:LdHU3.23.1350(CDS-product:Na/H_antiporter-li ke_protein)". The record is from RNAcentral. Lineage: Eukaryota; Euglenozoa; Kinetoplastea; Trypanosomatida; Trypanosomatidae.
GUACACAUGUGCGUAUGCGCGGGUGGCUUUGCCUACGAACACAUCCCACCUUUCUUUACGUAUACCCGCUGACUUGAACCCUCCUCGCACAUCGAGACAGCCCAUAGCACACGGAAGGCGAUAGGGACGCACUCAAACACGCAGACAAAUAUUCGCUCGCCAUCGUGGCUGAGGGCUUGUCUUUGUCCCUCUCCCUAUCCCUUUCCCUGUGCAGGCUUGCGCGUGGUGUCAUUUUUCUUCUCUCCAGCGUGCCAGCGGCGCCUUUGUUUUCGCUGUGGUCUUGAGCGGGCAUACACGCGCCUGUGCGUGCAUGCGUGCGGGAGGCAGUCGUUGCGUGGGUCUUGUUGUUCACGCACCUUCCCUGCGUGCGCCCUCCUCUCUCCUCCGGCAAACUAAUCAAGCAGAGCCACACACACACAUAGUGCAUUUCUCUCUCUGUCUUUUCGUGAGAAGUCAUUGCACCCCCACGGAAAAAAAGAAAAGAAACACCAGAAUAGGGGGAUCGCAUCUGCAUCCAAGCCCCCCUCCCCAUCUGUCCCAAGGUACUGACGUAGUAAACCGCCUCCUAAUCUUUCCAUCACGAAGGCCCCUUCCUCUCUCCUCUCCCCUAUAAGUGCGGCUCCGCACGCUAAGCGAUAAGAGAGGCGUGCGGCAUUGGCCCAAUAGCGGACACAACACACCAUCGAUCCCAAAACGAAAAAAAAAAACACCGGCCAACACGCACGCAGGUGCGCCGAGUUUCUUACCUUUGCCUUUCGAACUUGUGUACGUGCGCGCGUCUGCAGGCGAGUGGCUCAGGAUAGGGAGAUACGGCUCGCCUUUCAUCUCUUUGACGUCCGUUCGCUUCACUCGCUCACAUCGUACAUCCACUGUUUGUGUGUGUGUGUGUGUGUCUGUGUGUGCCGUCACCACAGUCUGUCGUUGCGCCUUGCAUCUUCGACUGGCUCAUAUCCAUCACUGGUCUCCCUCCUCUGGGCGCGCUUGUGUGCGCGUCUGUGUGGGCCAUAUUCUGCUUCUGUAGAAUUUGCCGUUCCGCCACCCGCGUCUCGUUUUGACUGGCUUCUUGUCUGCAGCGCACGUGAGCGAGGGAGGGAAGGGGAUCUUUCUGGUUUCUUGGGCCGAUCGGCUCUAUCUCGUCUUGCGUGUGUCUGUGCCUGCGGGUGACGGGCCUUCCGCGGACGCGUUCAUUGGGUGCCCUGCACUCGUUGUCGCCACGUCAACCUGUGCCCGCCCUCUCUUCUGGAUUUUCACCUCUGGGUCUUGCGACCCACGCCGAUGCGGGCGCCACAUCGGCGUUUGCGUGCGAUGACACACAUGGCCACGCCACUCGAAGCUGCCUCGAGUUCGAGGGGCACGGGGGAGGGCGCAUGCCGCAACACCGAGUCGUUCGAGCGCCUGUCCCUCGUCAUUCUGUUUGUCACGAUGCUCAUCUUUCUCGGCGGCACCUUCUUCAUGACGCACAAGCGCCGCAUUCCACUGCCGUACACGGUGGUGCUGUUUCUGUACGGAAUCGCGGUGGGCGUGGUGGCUCGCUGGCUGUACCCUGACGUCGCGGAGGCUCUCGGCUCCAUCCCGCCUGAGCUGCUCUUCUACAUUUUCCUGCCAGUGCUCAUAUUUGAAGGCAGCUAUGCCAUGAACAUACAUGCUCUGCGCCGCGUCUUUCCACAGGUGGCGCUGCUUGCCACGGUUGGCGUCCUCAUCAACACGGCACUUCUGGCGGUACCGGUGAAGUUGUUCUUCCAGACCUGGUCGUGGUACACGGCACUGCUGCUAGGUUCGCUGCUUUCCGCCACCGACCCUGUCGCGGUUGUCGCGCUGCUGAAGGAGUUGGGAGUGGACAAGUGCAUGACGGCCAUGGUGGACGGCGAGGCCGUCAUGAACGAUGGCACGGCGAUCAUCCUCUUCACUCUUCUUCUCCCUGCUGCGCGCGUCGGCUUCGUGGACAUGUCGCCUGGGGUGAUUGUUGUACGGUGCACCUGGCUGGCGUUGCUGCCCAUCGCACUCGGGCCUCUCUUCGGCUUCCUCCAGUCCUUCUGGUUGCGUCGCACCAGUGACGGCCUCACCAAGGCGUGCAUCACCGUGUCUGUAACGUACGUGUCGUACUACGUCGCCGCGGAGUUGCUGGGCACGAGUGGCGUUCUGACGCUCUUCUUCCAGGGCAUCUUUCUGAGCUACUACUGCCCCUCCCUCUUCCCUGGACGCGAGGGCAACAUCAUCUCCUCCGCGUGGGAGUUCCUGGUCCACCUCGGCAACACGGUGCUCUUCUCCCUCGUCGGCGUCAUCCUGGUGGCGGAUGUGCUGCCCACUGUGAAGCUCUUGGACAUCUUUGUUCUCGUCGCGCUGUACAUCGCCAUGAUGCUGUCGCGCCUUCUGAUGCUGGAGGUGCUCUCGCCGGUGCUGAACAUGUUCUCCUACAAGUUUGAUCAGAAGCGGAUCGCGCUCAUGGUGCACGCCGGGCUGCGCGGCGGCGUCGCUGCCACGCUGGCGAUCGCUGUGAUGCAGGAGGGCCUCGAGGAGGGCGUCGACAUCUUGAAGGUCACGUCCGGGAUCGUGCUGUUGACGUUGCUCGUAAACGCGUCCACGUCGGCCACCGUCGUGGAGCGGCUCGGCUUCAAGACGAAGUCAGAGUACCGCAUCGUAAAAAUGGAAUACGCGAUGGAGCUCAUGCGCAGCUCUCAGGAGCACGCGCUGGAGGGCUUGAAGCGCGACAUCAAGUACCGCAAUGCAAGCUGGAUGCAGGUGGAGAAGUUCGUGCAGCACUACAUCCGCAACCCGUUCCGCAACACGGCUGUGGAGCCAGAGGAGGACGAGGAGAAGAUGGUGAACCGAAUGCUGAUGUCGGCCUUCAAGACAGCGCUGUGGCUGCAGCGGGACAAGGAGGUGAUCACAGAGACGGUCGUCGUGCAAAUGGGCGCGUCCCUUGCCACACUCAUCGAGAGAGGUGAGCUGCUGGAUGUGCAGCAGAUGUACUGGUAUCACCGUCACCGUGGCGCUAGCAGUGGCGAGGAGGAGCGGGCAAUCGUGGCCCGGGUAUCGCCGCCGCGGGGGCCGCGCCAUUCGUCCAACAUGUCGACCCCAAGCAGCCACUACUCGACACAGCAACCGCAGCAGCUUGCCACAACGCAGCCGUGGCGCAUGCGGCCCUCCACCAACGUCACCGUUGAGGGGGAAGCUGUGGCCGUGCCCGAGAGUUUAGAGGAAAUGCAGAACCGCCCCUCGGGUGUCCCAAGCGCGACAGGGGCGAGCCAACCCGUGGGCGGGCCUAGCGUCAGGGCUAGUGGUAGCGACGAACACGGCGGCUUAGCGCUCGAUGUGACGAGCCUGCCAUCGCACUACCUCGGCGGCGACGCGGCUGAUGAGGGCGAGAAGAAGGCGGAGACAAACCGGAUGGUCAACAACCUCAUGCGCCGCCUGCUGCCCGCCUGGGUGGUGCUCGUCGAGCGCUUCAUCUGCAGCCCGGGCUACUUCGCGGCGGCGCACCGUCGUGCGCAGGAGAACGCGUUCGUCGCGCUGCUCGCUGUCGUCAAGUGUCUGAAUGCCAUCUCACCGCUCAAGUUUAAGUUCAUCAGGUCGGAGGCGCAGGCGCGGCGGGUGGAGCGGUGGAUGACGACGCAGAUUGCGGCGGCCAAUCGCGCCAUCCGGUUCUUCUACACCAACUUCCCGGAGGCUACGAACAACGUCGCAAGCAGCCGCGCCGUCGUCUCGGUCGCCAACGCGCUGGAGGAGACGGUGCACAAUCUAAACGCCGAGCACGGCUUCGGGACGCGGGCGACGGAGGAGCUGGAGAAAAUGGUGGCGUGCAUGCGGUCUCACACGCCGUCGACGUGGGAGAACAAUGCGUCGCAGAACGAGAGCAACCUCGUGCUUCGCGCCGUUGCGGCGACGCCCCUCGGCAAGGGGCUACGCAGUUUGGAGAUCAAGGCAAUCAGCUCCAUGGGCCUCGUCCGCAAGUUCCGCGAGGGCGACAUCAUCACGCUGCCCGACAACGCAUUCCUAGUCGUUGUCUUUGGGAGUCUGCGUGCCGUCUACGGACAAUGGACUACGCUCACCGAGCAUGAGCAGAUGGAAAGCUUCGGUGAUACCGUCGGCCUCGAGGCCCUCAUGUUGCCGCAGGAGUUUCGAGUGGACCAGCAGCGGCGCUGGCGCGUCAUCUCGACCGACUCUACAGCGCUGAUCAUUUCGUUUAACAGCAUCAAGCCGUUCCUGACAGAACGUUCCUUGCGCGCGGUCAAGGCGCUGUGGCGCGCGGCCGCCGCGGAGGUGCUGAUGCCCUUCUUAUCGCGUAUCGUGACAGUCCCGGACAACGAGGCGCGCACCAAACGGGAGCACUUGAUGGAGCUCAUCAUGGCUGGCACUCCCCUUAUCGGCCCUCGCGACUGCGAUCUGGCGAGCUGUGAAACCAACUUCCACCUGUACUUCUACCUCCGCGGGUAUGACAAGUCGGGGCUGUUCAAUUGCCACACACCCCCGUGCUACAUCUCCAUCUUCUACGUACAUCAGCUGCGCUGGGUCGACCCUGACGCGGUGCUCUACGCGGUCCCGAUGCGGGUCGGGGAUCGUGGCUACGUGCCGUGGCCCACGACCGCCACGACGGCUGGCGCGUCUGGUGAGGAUGAGCGGGAAGACGAAAGUAGCUUCGAGGAGGCAGAGGAGUUCGAGGGCGUGGGGGCCUCCGCCCGGCGCACUUCACCAUCCCUGUGGACUGCCGUGGGCCGGUCACCGGCUGCCGUCUGUCCGUCGGUGUCUCUGCAGCCGCCCCUGCCUGCGACGAGGUCGCGGUGCCGCGCGGCAGUCGACGAGCUGUUGCCCGUUACUGGGCAGAGCGCGAGUGCGUGGGGCUGCGAGAUGGGGCGAAGUCAUCACAACGAUGCACACGACUCUAUGGAACCGAACUUGGUGCACUCCUCGAUGGACCACAGCGACCGCGGCGGCGGUGCAGGGGCGCUCUUCACGAGGAACAUGGAGCCCGAUGGCGUGACGCCGCCAGCACUCUUCGGCGAGAACAGCGUCGCCACACACGCUGGUGCGACGAACAUCAUCAACAGCGUGCUGCUCGGCUGCGCACCUGAGGACCCCGAUGAGCUGGGCCUGAACGCAUCGAUCAGCGCCUUUGGCGACUUGCUUGACAACGUCGCCUCCCCGACGCCGACUCACACCGGCUGCGACUUGUUUCUACGGUCGCCGUCGGUGUCGGAGCGUCUGGGCCACAGUUCUGCCUCGCACUUCAUCCGCGACACGGACAUCAGCAUCUUCUAUGCGCUCGAGGGCUUUGCGACGCAGGUUCCCUUUGUGAACCAGAUGCUCGUCCACUACGCUUCCUCCAUGGAGCACCUCUGCAUUGCCACGCUGCGCUACCUGCGGUUCCCGACCGACCCUUUUCACGCGCGCCAUGCUCAGUCCACAGGUGAGCAGACGGUGGAGUUCUUGCUGAACUUCUGCGUGGAGCUGUCGAUGCUGAAGCGGACGUGCCGCAUCGUGAGCAAGUGGCACAGCGAGGACACCGAAGUCCUGCACCCGUUUCACGUGAGCAACGACGCGGACUCGGCGUUUCAGGCGCGCGUUUGCGGGUGGGCUCGUCGUCACCGCCUGAACGGCAAGUUUCACUUGAAGACAAUGGUGACGGAGAUGAACCAAUACGCGAACCGGCGCUUCCCCGACUACGUGUCGGUGCUGCGACGGAUGGUGGAGCUGGAGCCGGGGCUGAAAGAGGUGGAGACGGCCGAGGGCAUGAACUCGAUGUGCCGCCGCAUUUUAAAGAGCAGCAAAGGUGUUGCUGUAGAGAUGGAGAGCCUCGAGGAUGCCAUUUAGCGUGGCGGCGGUAGAGGCCAGAGAGGAGGGGGGAAGCGAUGUUUGAGCCGUGGCGAGCGUUCGGCUGCGUGGGCGUCUGCCCUUUGCUGAUGAGGAAACCAAACGGGAAGAGGUGCGACCGCGAGAGAAGCCCUUAAAAGGGAGCAGAGGAACUCAACACGAAACAGCCGCACGGUGAGGUGCGCAUGAAACGCUCGCUUCACGGUGUUUGUUGCGCACCCCUUUGCGUGCGUCGGUGUGGCUGCCUCUCUCCUUCUUCACACGUGCAGCUUGCCAUUUCUUCUCUGCGCAUCGUGAUCGUCGUCCGUCCCUCCUCACUGUUGCUCCUCUCCGCAUGUGCGAAGGCGGAGAGGGGAGAGAGGGGAGGGGUACGCACACACAUUUCCGAUGUGUUAACCUUUCUGUGUGGAUGCAUCUUCUUGGCGUGUCUUUGUUUUUAGUUUGCCUUUGCCAGUUGAGGGCUGUUGCGCCUGCACUUGAUCUAGUUCUGUUCCCCAACGCAAGGAGGAGAGAGAGUGCGUUUGUGUGUACGCAGCUGUGCUGCUGUUGCAGUGAGGUCUGCGCUGUAAUGGCGGAGGAGAGAGGCGAUAGAGAGGGGGAGCGGGGGAGGUGUGCUGAUCAUUAGAAUUCGCGGUGCGCAUGCAUGUGCCGUCGCUUGCCAUACUGCAUUCUCUUUCUCUCGUGGAAAGCAUACUCGCUGUUCUGCCCUCUUCCCCCCGCCUCGCGCGGGCGUGUGCGUGUCCAUGCAGGAGGUGGCUGAUAUCUGUGGGACUGAUCUGGCUGGGGUCGUAACCACAUUCGCAACGGCGAGAGAAAGGAAACGCAGAGCGACGAACGAGAGGAGAACACAGACUUCGAUACUCGGUGGAGGCGAUAAGGCUGGCCUUGCCGCUUCUCCGCCUUCUACCCGCAUUCUCUUCCUCUUUUUGUCUGAGAGCACACUCGAGGAAAACGCCCGCGAGCGAGUUAGAGGAGGGGGCGCGUAGGCGGACAGAGAUGGGUCUGCGGCGGCGGCCGCCGCCGCCGCCAUCGCUCGCCCUUGCUGGCUGCCGCUUCCCUUCUCCCCCUCCCUCCUCUGUCUGCGUCGUUCUCCCGUCCUCCUUGGCUGAUUUGACUUUGCGUGUUUUCUGGCGUCGUGGACUGCCAAUCGCCGUAAAACGCAUCGCAU